This 72-nucleotide transfer RNA is filed under the name Ipomoea nil (Japanese morning glory). It matches the Rfam family "tRNA". From Rfam's summary of the family: Transfer RNA (tRNA) molecules are approximately 80 nucleotides in length. Their secondary structure includes four short double-helical elements and three loops (D, anti-codon, and T loops). Further hydrogen bonds mediate the characteristic L-shaped molecular structure. tRNAs have two regions of fundamental functional importance: the anti-codon, which is responsible for specific mRNA codon recognition, and the 3' end, to which the tRNAs corresponding amino acid is attached (by aminoacyl-tRNA synthetases). tRNAs cope with the degeneracy of the genetic code in two manners: having more than one tRNA (with a specific anti-codon) for a particular amino acid; and 'wobble' base-pairing, i.e. permitting non-standard base-pairing at the 3rd anti-codon position. The record is from Rfam by way of RNAcentral. Lineage: Eukaryota; Viridiplantae; Streptophyta; Magnoliopsida; Solanales; Convolvulaceae.
GGAUUCGUGGCGCAAUGGUAGUGCGUCCCACUCUAAUUUAGAAGGUUGCGUGUUCGAUUCACGUUGGGUUCA